AGCGAACGCUGGCGGCAGGCUUAACACAUGCAAGUCGAGCGGGCAUCCUUGUGGUGUCAGCGGCAGACGGGUGAGUAACGCGUGGGAACGUGCCCUUCGGUUCGGAAUAACUCAGGGAAACUUGAGCUAAUACCGGAUACGUGCGAGAGCAGAAAGGUUUAUCUGCCGAAGGAUCGGCCCGCGUCUGAUUAGCUAGUUGGUGAGGUUAUGGCUCACCAAGGCGACGAUCAGUAGCUGGUCUGAGAGGAUGAUCAGCCACACUGGAACUGAGACACGGCCCAGACUCGUGCGGGAAGCAACAGUAGGGAAGAUACCGCGAUGGGCGUAAGCCUGACGGGGAAGCGAAGCGUGAGUGAUGAAGGUAUUCGGAUCGUAAAACUCCGUGAGUAGGGAAGAACAAAUGUGUAAAAAACGAUGCACGUCUUGACGGGACCUAAUCGGAAGGCCAGGGGUAAAUAGAUG
Molecule: ribosomal RNA, 462 nt
Filed under: uncultured bacterium
Lineage: Bacteria
Description: partial 16S ribosomal RNA
Rfam family: Bacterial small subunit ribosomal RNA
Source: RNAcentral